AGUAACACGUAUGCAAUCCACCUGUAACAGGGGGAGUAACCCGGAGAAAUCCGGACUAAUACCCCAUAAUAUGGGCGCUCCGCAUGGAGAGUCCAUUAAAGAGAGCAAUCUUGGUUACAGACGAGCAUGCGCUCCAUUAGCCAGUUGGCGGGGUAACGGCCCACCAAAGCGACGAUCAGUAGCCGACCUGAGAGGGUGACCGGCCACAUUGGGACUGAGACACGGCCCAA
Molecule: ribosomal RNA, 230 nt
Filed under: uncultured bacterium
Lineage: Bacteria
Description: partial 16S ribosomal RNA
Rfam family: Bacterial small subunit ribosomal RNA
Source: RNAcentral